This 305-nucleotide unclassified non-coding RNA is filed under the name plant metagenome. RNAcentral describes it as "partial contains 5.8S ribosomal RNA, internal transcribed spacer 2, and large subunit ribosomal RNA". The stretch from base 1 to 105 matches the Rfam family "5.8S ribosomal RNA", at positions 50 to 154 of the family's 154-position model. The record is from RNAcentral.
GAAAUGCGAUAAGUAGUGUGAAUUGCAGAAUUCAGUGAAUCAUCGAAUCUUUGAACGCACAUUGCGCCCUUUGGUAUUCCAAAGGGCAUGCCUGUUCGAGCGUCAUUUGUACCCUCAAGCUUUGCUUGGUGUUGGGCGUCUUGUCUCCAGUUCGCUGGAGACUCGCCUUAAAGUAAUUGGCAGCCGGCCUACUGGCUUCGGAGCGCAGCACAAGUCGCGCUCUCUUCCAGCCAAGGUCAGCAUCCACAAAGCCUUUUUUCAACUUUUGACCUCGGAUCAGGUAGGGAUACCCGCUGAACUUAAGC